CCUACGGGAGGCAGCAGUGGGGAAUUUUGGACAAUGGGCGAAAGCCUGAUCCAGCAAUGCCGCGUGAGUGAAGAAGGCCUUCGGGUUGUAAAGCUCUUUUGUCAGGGAAGAAACGGUGAAAGCUAAUAUCUUUUGCUAAUGACGGUACCUGAAGAAUAAGCACCGGCUAACUACGUGCCAGCAGCCGCGGUAAUACGUAGGGUGCAAGCGUUAAUCGGAAUUACUGGGCGUAAAGCGUGCGCAGGCGGUUUUGUAAGUCUGAUGUGAAAUCCCCGGGCUCAACCUGGGAAUUGCAUUGGAGACUGCAAGGCUAGAAUCUGGCAGAGGGGGGUAGAAUUCCACGUGUAGCAGUGAAAUGCGUAGAUAUGUGGAGGAACACCGAUGGCGAAGGCAGCCCCCUGGGUCAAGAUUGACGCUCAUGCACGAAAGCGUGGGGAGCAAACAGGAUUAGAUACCCUGGUAGUCCACGCCCUAAACGAUGUCUACUAGUUGUCGGGUCUUAAUUGACUUGGUAACGCAGCUAACGCGUGAAGUAGACCGCCUGGGGAGUACGGUCGCAAGAUUAAAACUCAAAGGAAUUGACCGGNNGAGAGAGCGACGACGACGACGAGGGAGAGG
RNAcentral lists this ribosomal RNA (618 nucleotides) under uncultured bacterium. RNAcentral describes it as "bacterial SSU rRNA". It matches the Rfam family "Bacterial small subunit ribosomal RNA", at positions 338 to 956 of the family's 1533-position model. The record is from RNAcentral.